UGAACAAUGAAAUAAAAACUCUAUCUCGGAUACAAAAGGAAAUAAUACAUAAAUAGUAGAAGAGAUGUCGGGCCUGCGGACGCCUGUAGGACUACCUCGGUAUCUCGUGGACUGAAGUAUGGCUCCCCGCUACUGGUGCACUCUGCAAGCUGCCCCGGUGUCUGCACAUAAAAGAGUGUAGCAUCAGCACAAACCGACCCCAUAUGUUGGUAAGUGUCUAGCCUAACGUCGGCGAGGUAGUUACGAGGCUAGGACCAUACUCCAGAUAAACCUGUGCAGUCACAUAUGAUAUAUGGUGGAAAAGUAAACAAGCAAUAAGUAGUAGAAGGGAGGGAGUACGUGCUUCGGGGGAACAAUUUAAUCUAUCAUAAAUCAAAUUAAUAGGAAGGGACAAUACUAUAUUUGAAAUAAUAUAAUAUUACUACUGUUGCGGCGCGCAACCCGACCCAUAUGCAUACUAUAGUUGUUGCGGUGUGCAACCUGGUCCAAUAUGAUAUCUGUUGUGGCGUGCAACCCGAUCCAAUGUAAUAUAUGUUGCGUCGUAUAACCCGAUCCAAUACAUAUCUUUUGUGGCGUGCAACCCGAUCCAACAUAUAUAUUUCCAUUAAUAAAGAUGUUAUGGUGCACAACCCAUUCCAAUGUACUACUUACUGUGAUCACAACAAUAAUCCUGGCAAGGGACUGACCAUAAAUUACACUUUCCCGGUAAGUGAACUUAAAAACAUAAGUAUAAACGUCCCGACAAGGGAGAAUCAGCUAUAACCAAAUAUCAAUUCAGCUUCUAAACAUCACUACUAUCAUCAUUUUCAACUCUCGAAUACUUCUAUGAAAAUAACCUAAACCUUUGCUCAACACCACAGAUUUUUCCACUAUUUCAAUCAUAAUAUUAUUCAAGAAUGCACAAGUAUCAAUUUAAGACCCACGGUCAUGCUUGACACCAACGUAUGGAUACUCGUCACCAUGCCUAUAUGUCGUAUCUAACAAGAAAAAUAUUGAAAAUAUGAUUCAACUCAUGAUCCCUCAAGCUAAGGUUAGACCAAACACUUACCUAAAACUUUCACAGCAAUUCAAUCCUCAAUUACCACUUUUCCUCUCGAACUCGGCUCCGACUCAAUCAAAAUAUAUACAAUAAUGACUUUAUAUUAUCAAUAUAUACCAAGCAAAUCAAACCCAAUGCCUAAAUAUAUAUUUCCAAGCUUUCUUUCCAAAAUUCUAAAAUCGACCCUGGGCUCGCUUGGUCAAAUCACGAGGUUCAGACCAAAUUCACAUCACCCAUUACCCCACGAGCCCGAAUAUAUAAUUUGUUUUCAAAUUCGACCCUAAAAACAAGGUCUAAAUCAAGAAAAAUCGAAAAGCCCUAGCUCUACCCAUUUUCCUCAAUUUCUACCCUAAAUUACUAACACACAGAGUUUUGUGAAUAAUCGCUUCAAAAGUCGCCCCAAUGAGGUGUGGAGAAGAAGACGUUAUGAAAUUUUGAUGUUGGUCCACAAUGGUUCUGUUCCUGAUCGUUUGAAAAACUAGGCGAAUUUGCUCUAUGCGAUCGCGGAAGAGGGAUUGCGAUCGCAUAGGGUAUGGUUUGUUGUGCACUAUGAUCGUGGAUUUCUUAAUGCGAUCGUAUACUAAGAUAAAAUGAAGGCUGGAGUUUUGUGCAUUGCGAGCAGAGAGAAGGAUGCGAUCGCAUAGAAUGAAGUGGAUAAGGUACGCAAAACUAAGAGAUCGCGGAAGCUCAUAUGCGAUCGCAUAGAACAACAUACCAGAACACCAGAAUGAAUAUUUCUGCAACUUUUCUAAGUCCGAAAACACUCCGAAACACCUUCGAAACACCCCCGAGCCCUCAGGUCUCCUAGCCAAUCUCACACAUUGACAUAACCACAUCCUAUGAACUUAACUGUAAGAUCAGAUCGCCAAAAUAACAUAAAAAUUGAGGAAUCAAACCUCAAAAUCAUUACUUUAUAAUCAAAUUUCAUAAACUUUAAUUUUUAGAGAUUUAUGUCCGAAACACGUCAAAUGAUGUCCGAUUUCAACCAAAUUUCACAUAAACUUCUUAAAACACAUAUAAGACUCGUACCAGGCACUGGAACCAAAAUUCUGGCCGAUACCAAUACGUUCUAAUCCAUUUUCAUUUUAAAUUUCCUUAAUAAUUUUAGAAAAUUAAUUUCUUUGAAAAAUUCAUUUCUCGAGCUCAGGACUUUGGAUUUGAUUUCGGGCAUAUGUUCGAGCCCCAUAUUUUUCUACGGACCCUUCAGGACUGUCAAAUCACGGUUUUGGGUCCGUUUACCUAAAAUAUUGACCAAAGUCAACUUUACUCAUUUAAUACCAAAUUUUAGCGUUUAUAUAAUUUCGCAUAUAAGCUUUCUAGUUACGCGUUCGGACUAUGCAUGCAAAUCGAGGCAACUAAAAAUAAGGUUUUCAACGCCUCGGAAGCAUGAAAUGGGAGAGAAAAUAGGUGAUGAACCUUUGGGUUCACAUUCUUUACCUCUAAAACAACUGUUCAUCCUCUAACGGACAAAAGAAAGAAGUACCUGAGUCGGGAAAUAGAUGAAGAUAACGGAUCCACAUAUCGAACUCGGACUCCCAUGUUGAUGCCUUAGGAGGCUAACCUUUCCACUGAACACACUAAAGGAAAACUCUUCGACCUCAACUGUCGAACCUGCCGAUCUAGAAUAGCCACCGGCUCAUCUUUAUAAGACAGAUCCUUGUCAAACUGGACAGUUCAGAAAUCUAGCAUGUGGGCUAGAUCACCGUGAUACCUCCGAAGCAUGGACACAUAAAAACUUGAUGCACGGCUAACAAGCUAGGCGGCAAGGCAAGUCUAUAAGCCACCUCUCCCACACGAUCAAGAAUAUCAAAUGGACCAAUGAACACAGGGCUAAGCUUUCCCUUCUUCCCGAAUUUCAUCACGCCCUUCAUAGGCGACACUCAAAAACAUACUCGCUCACUAACCAUGGAAGUCACAUCUCGAACCUUGCAGUCUGUAUAACUCUUCUGCCCGGACUGAGCUGUAUGAAGCCUAUCCUGAAUGAUCUUGACCUUGUCCAAGGCCUCCUGAACUAGAUCCGUACCCAAUAACCGAGCCUCUCCCGACUCAAACCACCCAUCUGGAGACUGACAUUGUGACGACCCAAAGGGUCAUCACCAUAGUUCUCUCUUUCUCCGUGAUUUCUAGGACUUGAAAACCUCUUAUCUGGUUGUCUCGAUUUGUGUAUGCAGACCGGACGCGAAGCUGGAAAAUUUUUAUGUGGAAAUAUAUAAAUUUUGUGUUAAAAACUAUGAAUUUUGAUAAUAAUAUUGAUAUAGUUGACCUUGGUCAAUAUUUUUGGGUAAACGGACCCAUAUCCGUGAUGUGACAGUCCCGGAGGGUCCGUAGGAAAAUAUGGGACUCGGACAUAUUCCCGGAAUCAAAAUCCGAGGACCCAGGCCCGAGUACGGAAUUUUUGAAAGAAAUUGUUUAUCUGAAAGUGACAUAAAAAAGUUAAAUGAAAAUGAGUUAGAAAAUAUAGGUAUCGGUCUCGUAUUUUGGUUCCGACCGGUACAAGUCUUAAAUGACCGUUAAGCGCUUUCUGUGAAAUUUGGUCAAAAUCGGACGUCCUUUGAAAAUAUGGAAGUUAUGAAAAUUAUGAGUUUUGGGGGUUGAUUCGUUGAUUUUGAUGUUAUUUUGGCGAUUUGAUCGCUAGACUAAGUUCAUAGGAUGUUAUUGAGUUAGUGUGUGAGGUUGGUCGGGAGCCCCGAGGGCUCGAAUGAGUUUUCAGGGGUGGUUCGGGAUGUUUUAGAACCUUGAAACACAUUAGAUUUUUCAAUGCGAUCGCGUUCGCAUAGCGCAGCCUCCAGUCUUCUAUGCGAUUUCGGAAGAUCCCCAGCGUUCGCAUUGUUUUACCAGCUUCUUCAAUCCAUUCGCACUCACCACUUAGCAUUUGCGUAAGACAUUGGACCCCCCGAACUUAACUGUAAGNNNNNNNNNNNNNNNNNNNNNNNNNNNNNNNNNNNNNNNNNNNNNNNNNNNNNNNNNNNNNNNNNNNNNNNNNNNNNNNNNNNNNNNNNNNNNNNNNNNNNNNNNNNNNNNNNNNNNNNNNNNNNNNNNNNNNNNNNNNNNNNNNNNNNNNNNNNNNNNNNNNNNNNNNNNNNNNNNNNNNNNNNNNNNNNNNNNNNNNNNNNNNNNNNNNNNNNNNNNNNNNNNNNNNNNNNNNNNNNNNNNNNNNNNCCCCCGACUUCCUUCUUCGCGAUCGCGUGAUCCCAAUCGCGAUUGCGAUGGCCCCAGUCCUCCUUCAUCGCGAACGCGGACCUCAUGUCGCGAUCGCGUAGGAUAAGUUCCUUCAGCAAUUUUUAUGUUUAAAAAUAGACAGUGCACAGGAGUUUUUCCCAUUUUUCACACGAACUCCUUCCUAAGUUCCUCCAUUGACGAAAUCCAAGCUUUCCUUUCUUGAUAAUCCUUUGGGUAAGUGGUCUUAACUUUGUCCCUUCAUUAUUUCUUCAUCUAAUUAUUAAUUUCCUAGUCCUAUUACAUAAAUCAAGGUAGAAUUUAGGGGAUUUGGUUAGAGCUAGGUCUUUUAUGAUUUUGGGCAAUUCAACCUCAAUUUGAGGUCGAAUCUUAAAACAAAUUGCAUAUUUGGGAGAGAAAAUAGGUGAUGAACCUUUGGGUUCACAUUCUUUACCUCUAAAACAACUGUUCAUCCUCUAACGGACAAAAGAAAGAAGUACCUGAGUCGGGAAAUAGAUGAAGAUAACGGAUCCACAUAAUUUUGGUCUGAGCCUCGAGUUUGGACCAUGCGGGUCGGUGUCAGAUUUUGGUAUUAUUAAAAGAAUGAUCGGAAAUUCAUUCUAGGCUAUGAAAUUGUGUUUUUAAGUCAUUCUUGAUAAAAUUGAACUAGCUAUGGCUAGAUAUCGUUGUUUCGGAGUUGGAUUCUAGAGGAAAAGUGGUUUUACAGACUUGAUUGCUAUUUUCGGACCGAGGUAAGUGUUUGAUAUAACUUUGGCUCGAGGGAAUAGGAUUAGGACAUCAUUUUCUAUGUGUUAUGUGGAGUCGGUGUAUAGGUAUGGUGACGGUUAUCUAUGCACCCGAGUCUAGCCAGACUGUGGGUCUUAAAUUGCUUCAAUUCGAAUAAUGUGGUAUGGCUUGUUGCUUAAAUUGAUUGAGUUCACAUGAUAUGAUCGGUUGAGUACAAGUAGAGACUUGUAUAGGUUAUUGAAGCAUUGGCUCGAUUUAGAGUUGUUGGUAGUUAAGUGUUAGAAGUGGAAGUCCUGUGGUUAUUUCCCUUGCCAGGAUUUUGGUAUAAAAUGAACCAUCCCUUUCCGGGAUUUUGGUAUAAAUUGAACCUUCCCUUGCCGAGAUAAUUGAGCUGUUAGUUAUAUUCCCUCGUCGGGACUCUUGUAUUUUCAUGUUACUCCCCUCGCACUUGAGUUGCGAAUGAUGUUGGGUGAGUUCUUUUGGUGAAUAUCGAGGAUUGGGUUGCAUGCCGCAACGGAUUAAUUAUCGAGGAUCGGGUUGAACGCAGCAACGGUAGUUGAUAUCGAGGAUCGGGUUGAACGCAGCAACGGUAGUUGAUAUUGAGGAUCGAGUUGCACGCCGCAACGGAUUAUUGUCGAGGAUCAGGUUGCACGCUGCAAUGGUAUUAAAUUUUGAGGAUUGGGUUACGCACCGCAACGGGAUAUGGAAUGAGUAUAUUGUUCUGUGUGUUAAUCUUUUCGGUAUUUCUUUAUCAGUUUUUAUCCGCUCAGUUUUCAUUCUUGUUAGUUAAUUUCUAUAUUUCAAUUUUUGUUCCCACAGCAUGCUUCCCUCCCCUUUUAGCUGUCUAUACUAGCGUAUUCUCCUACUAUUGCAUAUAUUUGUACAGGUUAUUUAUGGUAGGUCUUGUCUAGCCUCGUCACUACCUCGCCAGGGCUAGGCCAGGCACUUACCAGCACAUGGGGUCGUUUUUGCUGAUGCUACACUUCUGUGCCUUUUUGUGUACAGAUUAGGGAGCAGCUUACGGACCGCCGCAACAAUUCUAGGCCGGGAGACGACCUUCAGUCCAGAGACUAUUAGGUAGCUUAGCUGACGUCCGCGGGCUCAGAGUCUUAUCUAUGUUAUUUCAGUUUGUUUAUUUAUAUCGAGACUGACUCUUGUGUAUUUUCUUUCAAACUGAUGUUUUUAGUACUCCUUAGUAGUCCGUGAGUGGUGACACAAGAUACUGGGUAGAAAUUUUUAUUUGAGACCUUCAUAUCCUAUAUUUUCUGUUUAAAGUAUUUAAAAGUCUACCGCAUAUUUUAGUAUUUGUUUCAAUUUAUCAUAUUGUUUUAAAUAAAAAUUUUGCGAAAUAUUUAAAUAGUUGGCUUUCCUAGCUCCGGUAGUAGGCGCUAUCACGACCCCCGAUGGUGGGAAAUUUGGGUCGUGACAAGUUGGUGUCAGAGCACUAGGUUACUUGGGUCUCACAACUCAUGGACAAGCUCGGUAGAGUCUGAGGGAUCCCCCAGGGUGUGAAAUCCGGGUCGUGACAAGUUGGUAUCAGAGCACUAGGUUACAUACGUCUCACAACUCACGGACAAACUUAGUAGAGUCUGAGGGAUCGGCACAGAAACGUCUGUAUUUAUCCCCAGAGGCUACAGAGUUAGGAAAAUUUCACUUUGGUCAUUUUUUUCGUGCGAUUUUGUUUCUCAAAUAUUGAUUGUCGUUCCACUCUGUUCUUUCGCAGAUGGCGAGAACACGUGCGUCUUCUUCUACUACACAGCAACCCGAGCCCCCAACAGCAGCUCCCGUGAAGGGCAUAGGCCUAGGCCGAGCCAGAGGCCGUGGUAGGGGAAAAGCUCAGCCUUGGGCACCAGUUGUAGAGAUGGAGCCUCAUAUUGAGUAUGAUGAGGAGGUUCCAGCCCCAGCUGCUCAAGUGGGCCCGGCUCAGCUCCCAGGAGGGCUUAUGUUUCCCCCGGAUCUCCAAGAUGCUCUAGUCCAACUGGCAGGCUUUAUGGAGAGUGUCACUAGAGCGGGUUUGCUUCCAGUAGCACCAGUCACUUCUCAAGCUGAAGGAAGGGUUCAGACUACUGCUACGCGUACUCCGGAGUAGGUAGCUCCCCAGACUUAGGUUCUAGUGGUCCAGCCCGCAGUGGCAGCUCAGACAGAUAUUACGGCUUAGGCGGAGAUGGAGCGGCCAUGUCUUUGGAUGCCUUGUGGAGACUUGAUCAGUUCUCCAAGCUUUUCAUCACCACUUUCAGCGGUGCUUCAUCAGAGGAUCCCCAGGAUUUUCUUUUCAGUUGUCACGAGAUCCUUAGGACUAUGGUUAUAGUGGAGACCAAGGGGGUCGAUUUUUGCACCUUCUGGCUUGCAAGAUCCGCCAAGACUUGGUGGAGAGAUUAUUGCCUAUUUAGACCAGCAGUAUCUCCAGCUUUGACAUAGGAUCAAUUUGCGGAGUUAUUCUUUGAGAAGUUUCUCAUUGUCACUCAGUGGGAGGCACUUUGUAGAUAGUUUGAGUGCCUCCAGUAGGGCUCCAUGAUAGUUACACAGUAUGAGACUAGAUUUAUUGAUUUGGCACGCCAUGCAGUUGUGAUACUCCCUACGGAGCGAGAGAGGGUUCAGAUAUUCAUUGAUGGAUUGAUUUAGCCGAUCUGUCUUUAGAUUGCCAUGGGAGUUGGUAGUGAUAUUUCCUUUCAGGAGGCGGCCAAUGCGAACCACCAGGUAGAGAUAGCACUUGCACGAGGAGGUGGUCAGGGGUCAUAAAAGAGGCCUCGUCAUUCUGGUAGGUUCAGUGGUACCUCAUUUGGAGGUAGGGAUUCAUAUGACAGAGGCCACCCUCAGAGGCCCUUUCAGUCAGCACUUCAGGUUUCACACGAUAGCACGGGCGGUAGCGGUUCUCAGCAUCACCACUCUGAUCAGCAGCCUAUUAGUGCACUACCACUUCAAAGCCUUCGAGGAGGUCAUUCAAGGAGUCAGGGUCAGCCCCAGUCUUCUUAGUUGCCACAUUCUACUAGGUGUUAUGAGUGUGGAUAUCUCGUUCACAUGAGGAGAUAUUGCCCGAGGAUGAGAGGUGCUCGAUCAUAACAGCAAGGUCCUCGUCCUAUGAUUCAGGCAGCAGGUGAUCCACAGGCCGCCCAGCCAGCUAGAGGCGAGGGUACGGUCGAUAGAGGUGGAUGUAGGGAGCAUAGAGGUAUAGCUCAGACCUCUAAAGGCAGGGGUCAGCCAGUAGUAGAUCAUCCCAGAGACACAGUUUAGGGAGAUGGGGGGCAGCCCCAUUAUUAAGCUUUGUCGGCCAGGCCAGAAGCCGAGUCAUCAGAUGCUAUGAUUACAGGUACUAUUCUGGUCUCUGAUAGGGGUGCUUAUGUGUUAUUUGAUCUGGGAUCUACGUAUUCAUAUGUGUCAUCUAACUUGUUGAGAAGCCUGUGGAGCACCUAGCACCUGAAUCAUAGGACGGGAACCCUGCUGCUGCGACUGAGCAUCUCUCAACCUCGGGCAAUCCCUCCUGAUGUGACCAUACUCACCACACUCAUAACACCCGCAUGAAUACUGUAACUAAGAAGAUUUAUACUGAGCAUGUCGACCUGAAUGACCACCUCAGAAGCUCUAAAGUGGUGGUUCACUUAUAGGAGCUAGUGGGGCACUAUAAGGCUGUUGAUAAGAAUAAUGCAGCUGAGAACCACGACCACCUGAAUCACCAUAAGAGACCUAUAGAGCCGACUGAACGGGCCUAGAAGGAUGGCCUCUACCAUAAGAAUCUCUACCUCCAGAUGAGGUACCACUGAAUCUACCUAAAUGACGGGGCCUUUUGUCCAACCCAUGACCACCUCCGUGUUACAAAGCCAUCUCAACCCUACUGGCCGCAUUGGCCGCCUCCUGAAAGGUGAUCUCGCUCUCGGCUCAUAUUGCCAUCUGGAGACGAAUCGGCUGAAUUAAACCAUCAAUAAACCUCCUUACCCUCCCUCUCUCGGUGGGGAGUAUGACAAUAGCAUGGCAAGCUAGACCAAUGAACCGGGUCUCAUAUUGAGUGACUGUUAUGGAGCCCUACUGAAGGCGCUCAAACUACCUGCGAAGAGCCUCUCACUGAGUAACUAGGAGAAACUUCUCCAUAAAUAACUCCGAAAAUUGCUCCCAAGUUGAAGAAGGCGACCCUGCUGGUUUGGCUAAGCAAUAAUCUCUCCACCAAGUCUUGGCAGAUCCAGAUAGAUGAAAUGUGGUGAAAUCGACUCCAUUGGUCUCAACAAUUCCCAUGUUUCGAUGAACCUCGUGGCAGCUAUAUAACAAAUCCUGAGGGUCCUCUGAAGAAGCACCGCUGAAAAUGGUGGUGAAGAGCUUGGUGAAUAUAUCCAGCCUCCACAAUGCAUCCGCGGACAUAGCCACUCCAUUGGCGGUCUGAGUGAUUGUACCUGGCUUAACUAUCACACCUAGAUGAACCACUAGAACCUGAGCAUGGGGAGCUACCUGCUCUGGAGUACGUGUAGCAGGAGUUUGAACCCCUUCUCUAGCCUAAGAAGUGGCUGGUUCUAUUGGAAGCAAACCCGCUCUGGUUACACUCUCCAUAAGCCCUACCAAUAUGACCAAAGCGUCUUGAAGAACGCGGGCAUCAAUAAAUCCCUCUAGGGCCUGAGCUAGGACCACCGGAGAUGCUAGGGCUGGAAUCUCUUUGUCAUAAUCAAUCUGAGGCUCUGCCACUGAGGCUGUUGCUCGAGGUUGAGCUCUGCCCCUGCCUCGGCCUUUGGCAUGACCUCAGCCUCGCCCUCUACCCCUUGUAGGAACUGUUGUUGGGGGCUCGGGCUGCUGCACGGUAGAAGAGGAAGUGCGUGUUCUCGCCAUAUGCGAAAGAACAUAGUAUAAAGACAAUUAGUAUUUGAGAAACAAAACUGCACGACAAGGUAGAACAAAAUGUGAAGUUUUCCCUAACUAUGUAGCCUCUGGGGGGGAUAAAUACAGAUGUCUCUGUACCUAUCUCUCAGACUCUACCAAGUUUGUCCGUGAAUUGUGAGACCUAUAUAAUCAAACAGCUCUGAUACCAACUGUCACGACCCGGAAUUCCUACCCUCGUGAGUCGUGAUGGCGCCUACUUGUGGAAGCUACGCAAGCCAGUAACCUUCACAACAUUAACCUAUCUCCUUUAUUCCAUGAUUAAAACCUAUUAAAUAACUGAUAAUUAAGCAAUUAAAAGACUGUGAUUUAACAAGAUAGCGGAAGUCUGAAUUGAAAUAACAACAAAGUCUAAAAAACAUCCAUAUAGGUCUCUACCCAGCAUCUGGUGUCACAACAUUUCACAGACUAUCUAAGAGUACUAAAUACAAGAGUCUGAACAAUGAAAUAAAAACACUCUCUCAGAUACAAAAGGAAACAGUGCAUAAAUAGAGAGAAGACAUGUCAAGCAUACGGACACAUGCGGGACUACCUCGGGAUCUCGUGGACGAAGGAUGGCUCCCCGGCUACUGCUGCACUCCGUAAGGCGCUCUAGUAUCUGCACAUAAGUUUAGAGUGAAGCAUCAGUACAACCAACCUCAUAUGUUGGUAAGUGAAUGGCCUAAACCCGAUGAGGUAGUGAUGAGGCUAGGAACAAAUUCCAGAUAAACUGCAGUUACAUAUAAUAUAUGGUGGAAAAGUAUACAGGCAAUAAGCAGUAGAAGGGAGGGGGUACGUGCUUCAGGGGAACAAUUUAAUCUAGCAUAAAUCAAGUAAAUAGGAAGGACAAUACUGUAUUUGAAACAAUAAAAUACUACUAGUGUUGCGGCGCGUAACCCGAUCCAUAUGCAUAUUAUAGUUGUUGCGGCGUGCAAGCCGAUCCAACAUAUAAAUAUUUCCAUUAAUAAAGAUGUUACGGCGCGCAACCCGUUCUAAAUGUAAAACUUACAGUGAUCACAACAACAAUCCCAACAAGGGACUAACCAUAAAUUAUACUAUCUCGGCAAGGGAACUCAACAACAUAAGUAUAAACUUCCUGACAAGGGAGAAUCAGCUAUAACCAAAUCUCAGUUCAGCUUCUAAACAUCACUACUAUCAUCAUUUUCAAUUCUUGAAUACUUCUACGAAAAUAACCUAAGCCUUUGCCUAGCACCACGGGUUUUCCCAAUAUUUCAAUCAUAAUAGUAUUCAAGAAUGCACAAGUAUCAAUUUAAGACCCACGGUCAUGUUUGACACCAACGCAUAGAUACUCGUCACCAUGCCUAUACAUCGUACCCAACAAGAAACACAUAGCAAAUAUGACUAAAUCCUAAUCCCUCAAGUUAAGGUUAGACUGAACACUUACCUCAAACUUCCACGACCAAUUCAUUCCUCAAUUACCGCUUUUCCUCUCGAACUCGGCUCCAACUCAAUCAAAUAUAUACAAAAAUGAUUUUAUAUUAUCAAUAUAUGCCAAGCAAAUCAAACCCAAUGCCCAAAUAUAGAUUUCCAAGCUUUCUUCCCAAAAUUCCAAAAUUUGACCCUGAGCCCGCUUGGUCAGAACACGAGGUUCAGACCAAAUUCACAUCACCCAUUCCCCCACGAGCCCGAAUAUAUAAUUUAUUUUCAAAUUUGACCCCAAAACGAGGUCUAAAACAAGAAAAAUCCAAAAGCCCUAGCUCUACCCAUUUUCCCCAAUUUCUACCCUAAAUUACAUGUUUUAGGCCUAGUAAUUCAUUAGAGGUUGAAGGAAAUGAAAGGAAACAAGUAAAGGAUUACAAACCCACAGAGUUUUGGUGAAGAAUCGCUUCAAAAGUCAUUCCAAGAGGUGUGGAGAAUAAGAAGUUAUGAAAUUUUGAUGUUGGUCGCAAUGGUUCUGUUCUUGAUCUUUUAAAUAACUGGGCAAAUUUGCUCUAUGUGAUCUCGGAAGAGGGAUUGCAAUGCAUAGGGUAAGGUUUGAUAUGCACUAAGAUCGCGGACUUGUGAAUGCGAUCACAUAGGAGGAUAAAAUGAAGGUUGGUUUUUUGUGCAUUGCGAUCGCAGAGAGUAGGGUGCGAUCACAUAGAAUAAAGUGGCUGAGGUACGCGAUUGCAGAGAAUACUAUGUGAUCGCAUAGAACAAAACUGGGCAUUUAAGAUUUACACUAUGCGAUCACGGAAACUCCUAUGCGAUCACAUAGAACAACAUACCAAAACACCAGAAAUGAAUAUUUCUGCAACUUUUAUAAGUUUGAAAACACUCCGAAACACUCCCGAGCCCUCGGGGCUCCUAACCAAUCUCACACACUGACUCAACCACAUCCGACAAACUUAACCGUAUGAUCAAAUCGCCAAAAUAACAUAAAAAAUGAGGAAUCAAAUCUCAAAAUUAUUACUUUAUCACCAAACUUCAUAAACCUUUAUUUUUAGAUAUUUAAGUCCGAAACACGUCAAAUGACGUUCGAUUUCAACCAAACUUCACAAAAAUGUCUUAAAACACAUAUAAGACCUGUACCAGGCGCUACAACCAAAAUACGGGCCCGAUACCAACAUGUUCUAAUCCAUUUUUAUUUUAUAUUUUCUUAAUAAUUUCAGAAAAAUAAUUUCUUUUAAAAGUUCAUUUCUCGGGCUCGGGACCUCGGAUUUCAAUUCCGGUCAUACGCCUGAGUUUCAUAUUUUUUUACGGACUCUCAGGGACCGUCAAAUCACUAGUCCGGGUCUAUUUACCAAAAAUGUUGACCAAAGUCAACUUUACUCAUUUUAAUACCAAAUUUUAGCAUUUUUCACAGAAUUUCGAAUAUAAGCUUUCUGGCUAUGCGUCUGUACUGCACGCGCAAAUUGAGAAAACUAAAAAUGAGGUUUUCAAAGCCUCAAAAGCACGUAAUGGGAGAGAAAAUAGGUGAAGACACUUUGGGUCAUCACACAUGCAAAGGGGUUAAGUGAAAGGACCUUAUAGAAGAGUUUAGCAGAAAGUCAGAAUCAUAUAAUGAAACAAAAGAUUUUGAAAUUCGGUCGAGCAACAAAUGAAGCCACUUCAGGAACUUUAAUAGGUUAAAAGGAAAUAGGGUUUUAAAACCCAUCAAAUUUAGAGCAUGAUUAACAAGUAAAUCACAUAGCAAAUAGUCUAUGGACUCGAAUGAACCCCAAAUCUUAGGGUUUUCACCAUCAAUCGAGUAUUGACGAAAAACAAGUACAUCGGGAAAAAAUAUCAACAAAAUAAAGUUAGAACCCUCGAGAAGGAACUAAGACUUUUAACAUAAAGAAACAUAGAAGAAGAACAACAUAAGAAACACAGUAGAAGAAUCAACAUAAGAAACACAGUGGAAGAACAACAUAAGAAACAUAGUAGAACACACCAAAAGUCAGAGAAGGCUUUGAACUAACUUAACAAAACCCUAAAUCGAAAAAGAUAAAGGUUUUGAAGGCAGAGUUUUGAAAGAAACGUUGAGAAAACAUUUGAAAGGUUAAGGUAAAUACAAAUCUAGAACAGAUCUAAAGAAAUUAGAAGAAUCUCAAAAUAUAAGGUUUGAGAAAAACCCAGAUGGUGAGAAAGGCUUGGAAAGUCAUUGAUCUAAGUAGGAGAAGUCAAGAUCAGGCUUGCUCAAUAAUGGUUGGCCGGGGCAAGGUCGGAGACAGCCAUAUAAUUGAGAUCAACCAAAGUCUGGGCCAAUAUUCUUCAAGGUCUGGCCUUGAAACUCAGAUAAUCGAGCAUGUAGGAGACAUAGGAGGCAGGUACAGGCUUUUAACGGCUUUGGAAGCCAUGGAUUCAGGUUAUUUUAGGGUGGAAGCAGAGGGAGGCGGCUAGGGCUUGACUGGAGCUUGAGAGGGAAUUGAGAGGAGGGGAAAUUCAAGGGCGGCUAUAGGUGAGAAA
This 13663-nucleotide long non-coding RNA is filed under the name Nicotiana benthamiana. RNAcentral describes it as "long non-coding RNA (NBEN_LNC010755)". Lineage: Eukaryota; Viridiplantae; Streptophyta; Magnoliopsida; Solanales; Solanaceae. The record is from RNAcentral.